Molecule: small nuclear RNA, 107 nt
Organism: Saimiri boliviensis boliviensis (Bolivian squirrel monkey)
Lineage: Eukaryota; Metazoa; Chordata; Mammalia; Primates; Cebidae
Source: Ensembl
GUGCUUGCUUCGACAGCACACACAGUAUACGUGGAAUGAGGCAGAGAAUGCUAGCAUCUCCCCUGAACAAGGCUAAUGUCCAAAUGUGUGAAGCAUUUCAUUUUUAA